This 634-nucleotide long non-coding RNA is filed under the name Hordeum vulgare. Its description in RNAcentral is "long non-coding RNA (HVUL_LNC019546)". Lineage: Eukaryota; Viridiplantae; Streptophyta; Magnoliopsida; Poales; Poaceae. The record is from RNAcentral.
GACAUCUUAUAUUUGCAAACGGAGGAAGUAGAAGUUCCAUAUUUGAGGCAGAUCCAUGGCAGUAGAUUUAUGGAUUAAAAAAAUCACAUCAUCUAUUGGGUAAAGAUUGCUAGUUUCAGUAAAAGGUGGCUAUACUACCAUUGUAGUCUACCAGUUUUGGAAGUUUGAAUAGAAACUUCGGACUGCAUCAUCAGUCUUUCUCUUUCUAUGAGCUUCAUCCAAGGGCCUACAACUGCUUGGAUUUUGUGACUAAGUAUUGUUUGAUCACAGCCAUCUGGGUCAUUCUUAGCACUAGGCCCUAUGAAAUGUACUAGUGCCAUGACUUGACGAACAAAAACCAUUAUGUAACUCAGAUGCUAUCCUGCUCAAAUGUCCCAGUUUCAGGACGGAAGGAAGAAGAACAACCCAUCUUCCUCUAACCAUCAUGGUGACGCCACAUCGUGUAUGAUUUCGUCAUCGCAUAAUCGCAAAUCCUGAUGCUUCCGAUCCCUAGGAUGUCUGUGGUUUUCUACAACAUUGAAAAGCAAUUCCAACUAACUGUAAAAAAUUAUGUGGUACACCGCAUGCGUGAUGUAUUUUGAUAUGAACAUAGAAACAAUCGAGCUCUACUCCUUGCUUGCCCUUAGGCACGCAG